RNAcentral lists this ribosomal RNA (497 nucleotides) under uncultured bacterium. Its description in RNAcentral is "partial 16S ribosomal RNA". It matches the Rfam family "Bacterial small subunit ribosomal RNA", at positions 28 to 507 of the family's 1533-position model. The record is from RNAcentral.
GAUGAACGCUGGCGGCGUGCCUAAUACAUGCAAGUCGAGCGAACAGACGAGGAGCUUGCUCCUCUGACGUUAGCGGCGGAGGGGUGUGAAACACGUGGAUCACCUACCUAUCAGACUGAGAUAACUUCGGGAAACCGGAGCUAAUACGGGAUGAUAUAUUGAAGCGCGUGGUUCAAUAGUGAAAGACGGCUGUGCUGUCACUUCUAGAUGGAUCUGAGCCGCAUUAGCUGGUUGGUAAGGUAACGGCUUACCAAGGCGAGGAUGCGUAGCCGAGCUCAGAGGCGGAUCGCCCACACUGGAACGUAGACACGGUCCAUGCUCCUACGGUAGGCACCAGUAGGCAACCGGCCGCAAUGGGCGAGAGCCUUGCGGAGCAACGCCGCGCCAGUGAUGGAGGCCUCCCGAGCGUAAAGCUCUGUUAUGAGUUAAGAACAAAUGUGGAAUUAACUAUGCACGUCGUGACGGUACCUAAUCAGAAAGCCCCGGCUAACUACGUG